GACGAACCGUGCGAACGUUGUUCGGAAUCACUGGGCAUAAAGGGCGCGUAGGCGGGUCACCAAGUCCGUGGUGAAAGCCCCCGGCUCAACCGGGGAAGUGCUUCGGAUACUGGUGGUCUGGAGUGGGGUAGGGGCAUGCGGAACUUCCGGUGGAGCGGUGAAAUGCGUAGAUAUUGGGAGGAACACCAGUGGCGAAGGCGGCUACCUGGACCGGUUCUGACGCUGAGGCGCGAAAGCGUGGGUAGCAAACAGG
This 253-nucleotide ribosomal RNA is filed under the name uncultured bacterium. Its description in RNAcentral is "partial 16S ribosomal RNA". It matches the Rfam family "Bacterial small subunit ribosomal RNA", at positions 524 to 776 of the family's 1533-position model. The record is from RNAcentral.